Molecule: ribosomal RNA, 1403 nt
Filed under: metagenome
Description: bacterial LSU rRNA
Rfam family: Bacterial large subunit ribosomal RNA
Source: RNAcentral
CCAAAAUCCGGACGGCUUAGUUGAGACGUGAUAACGCAACACUCCUCGGAGUGCCAAGUGAGCGAUACCAUGCUUCCAGGAAAAGCCACUAAGCUUCAGUUGAAUGAAGACCGUACCGUAAACCGACACAGGUGGGUAGGAUGAGAAUUCUAAGGCGCUUGAGAGAACUCAGGAGAAGGAACUCGGCAAAAUAGCACCGUAACUUCGGGAAAAGGUGUGCCCUUUGUAUGUGUAGCGCCUCGCGCGUGAAGCAGAAUAGGGUUGCAAUGAAAUGGUGGCUGCGACUGUUUAAUAAAAACAUAGCACUCUGCAAACACGAAAGUGGACGUAUAGAGUGUGACGCCUGCCCGGUGCCGGAAGGUUAAAUGAUGGGGUGCAAGCUCUUGAUUGAAGCCCCGGUAAACGGCGGCCGUAACAAUAACGGUCCUAAGGUAGCGAAAUUCCUUGUCGGGUAGUUCCGACCUGCACGAAUGGCGUAACGAUGGCCACACUGUCUCCUCCUGGGACUCAGCGAAGUUGAAAUGUUUGUGAAGAUGCAAUCUCCCCGCGGCUAGACGGAAAGACCCCGUGCACCUUUACUGUAGCUUUACAUUGGACUUUGAUAACAUCUGUGUAGGAUAGGUGGGAGGCUUUGAAGUGGACUCGCUAGAGUUCAUGGAGCCAUCGUUGAAAUACCACCCUGAUGUUGUUGGGGUUCUAACCUAGAUCCAUUAUCUGGAUUGGGGACCGUGUAUGGUAGGCAGUUUGACUGGGGCGGUCUCCUCCCAAAUUGUAACGGAGGAGUACGAAGGUACGCUAGGUACGGUCGGAAAUCGUGCUGAUAGUGCAAUGGCAAAAGCGUGCUUGACUGCGAGACUGACAAGUCGAGCAGAUGCGAAAGCAGGUCAUAGUGAUCCGGUGGUUCUGUAUGGAAGGGCCAUCGCUCAACGGAUAAAAGGUACGCCGGGGAUAACAGGCUGAUUCCUCCCAAGAGUUCAUAUCGACGGGGGAGUUUGGCACCUCGAUGUCGGCUCAUCACAUCCUGGGGCUGUAGCCGGUCCCAAGGGUAUGGCUGUUCGCCAUUUAAAGUGGUACGUGAGCUGGGUUUAAAACGUCGUGAGACAGUUUGGUCCCUAUCUGCCGUGGGCGUUGGAAGUUUGAGUGGACCUGCUCCUAGUACGAGAGGACCGGAGUGGACGCACCUCUGGUGUACCGGUUAUGACGCCAGUCGUAUCGCCGGGUAGCUAAGUGCGGAAGAGAUAACCGCUGAAAGCAUCUAAGCGGGAAACUCUCCUCAAGAUGAGACUUCCCGAGGGUUUAACCCUCCUAAAGGUUCGUCGAAGACUACGACGUUGAUAGGUCGGGUGUGGAAGCAUAGUAAUAUGUUAAGCUAACCGAUACUAAUUGACCGUGAGGCUUGAUCC